RNAcentral lists this ribosomal RNA (465 nucleotides) under uncultured bacterium. RNAcentral's name for it is "partial 16S ribosomal RNA". It matches the Rfam family "Bacterial small subunit ribosomal RNA", at positions 28 to 507 of the family's 1533-position model. The record is from RNAcentral.
GACGAACGCUGGCGGCGUGCUUAACACAUGCAAGUCGUACGGUAAGGCCCUUUCGGGGGUACCCGAGUGGCGAACGGGAGAGUAACACGUGAGUAACCUGCCCACAACUUUGGGAUAACGCUAGGAAACUGGUGCUAAUACUGGAUAUGUGCUCCUGCUGCAUGGUGGGGGUUGGAAAGCUCCGGCGGUUGUGGAUGGACUGGCGGCCUAUCAGAUUGUUGGUGGGGUAGUGGCCUACCAAGGCGGCGACGGGUAGCCGGCCUGAGUGGGUGACCGGCCACAGUGAGACUGAGAUUCGGCCCCGACUCCGACUGGAGCCAGCGGUGGGGAAUAUUGCUAAAUGGGCGCAAGCCUGAGGCAGCAACGCCGCGUGCGGGAGGACGGCCUUCGUGUUGUAAACCGCUUUCAGCAGGGACGAAGCUUUUUGUGACGGUACCUGCAGAAGAAGCACCGGCUAACUACGUG